This 1453-nucleotide long non-coding RNA is filed under the name Homo sapiens (human). RNAcentral's name for it is "HSALNT0244360". The record is from RNAcentral. Lineage: Eukaryota; Metazoa; Chordata; Mammalia; Primates; Hominidae.
AGAACACUCUCAUUACAGAAUGUGAUAGCCUCUUAUAGAAAUGUUAUGAACAAACGAUGGAAAAGAAGCCACAGAAUUUUAUUUAUUUUUUAUUUUUUACUUUUUAUUUUGCAGUUAUUUAUUUAUUUAUUUAUUUAUUUAUUUAUUUUUGAGAUGGAGUCUCGCUCUGUUGCCCAUGCUGGAGUGCAAUGGCACGAUCUUGGCUCACUGCAACCUCUGCCUCCCAGGUUCAAGUGAUUCUCCUGCCUCAGCCUCCUGAACAGCUGCGAUUACCGGCGCGCACCACCAUGCCCAGAGAUAUUAAGGCAGAGAGCAGUUAAAUAACUUGCCAAAAAUUCUCAACAGGGACAAGGUCUUGCUAUGUUGCCCGGCCUGGUCUCAAACUCCUGGGCUUAAGCAACCCUCCCCAGUCCUGCCACCAUAGCCUCCCAAAGCCCUGGGAUUACAGGUGUAAGCUGCAAGAACUUCUUGAAAGGCAAUUCAACAUAGUGUUUAAAAGCAUGCAGGAGUCCUGGGUUCAAAUCUCCAUUCCAGCUCUAUCCAGUACCCAAAAUUGUCAUUGUCAGGCCUCUGAGCCCAAGCUAAGCCAUCAUAUCCCCUGUGACCUGCACAUAUACAUCCAGAUGGCCUGAAGCAACUGAAGAUCCACAAAAGAAGUGAAAAUUGCCAGUUCCUGCCUUAACUGAUGACAUUCCAGCAUUGUGAUUUGUUCCUGCCCCACUCUAACUGAUCAAUUAACUUUGUGACAAUACACCCUCCCCACCCUUGAGAAGGCACUUUGUAAUAUCCUACCCCAACCCACUGCCCUUAAGAAGGUACUUUGUAAUAUUCUCCCCACCCUUGAGAAUGUACUUUGUAAGAUCCACCCGCUGCCCACAAAAAAAUUGCUCCUAACUCCACUGCCUAUCCCAAACCUAUAAGAACUAAUGAUAAUCCCACCACCCUUUGCUGACACUCUUUUUGGACUCCGGCUGCCUGCACCCAGGUGAUUAAAAAGCUUUAUUGCUCACACAAAGCCUGUUUGGUCGUCUCUUCACACGGACACACAUGACAUUUGGUGCCGAAGAGCUGGGACAGGAGGACUCCUUCAGGAGACCAGUUCCCUUGUCCUCGCCCUCACUCCAUGAGGAGAUCCACCUAUGACCUCGGGUCCUCAGACCAACCAGCCCAAGGAACAUCUCACCAAUUUCAAAUCAGCCAAAAUCCACAGUGAUCCACAUAAUACUCAGGAAUCACCCAGAAGGGAUUUCUAUCUGAAAGGAGAAAGAAGCUCUGGGGCAUGAAUAUACGUUGUCUUGUAAAAAAAUAAAUCAGUAAUUCAUGUGUGUAUAUUUUAUACUCAAUGGGAAAAAAUGUUUUAUUUAAAAAAACACUCAAUAUUUUACAUGACAUUGUGAAAAGGCAGCACGGAAUUACUCAUUUGCUUCCUUUUUUAAAGUUUUAGAUGAAAAAU